GUAUUCCCAGGCAGUCUCCCAUCAAAGUAUUAACCAGGCCCAACCCUGCUUAGCUUCUGAGAUGAGACAAGAU
This 73-nucleotide small RNA is filed under the name Cricetulus griseus (Chinese hamster). Lineage: Eukaryota; Metazoa; Chordata; Mammalia; Rodentia; Cricetidae. The record is from RNAcentral.